Mercenaria mercenaria is the source of this 513-nucleotide long non-coding RNA. RefSeq lists it as uncharacterized. The record is from RefSeq and is a predicted model, not a curated record. NCBI's taxonomy places the organism in Eukaryota, Metazoa, Mollusca, Bivalvia, Venerida, Veneridae. The transcript has 2 exons.
UGCAUGUGGUCCAAAUUCAAAAGCUGUAGCUUGAGAAAUGUGAAAGUAGAUCACUAGAUCAAUUUCAAGGACGAAAUGUGAAAGUAGGUCACUAGGUCAAAAUCAAGGUCAAAUUACACUUCAGAACACAAAUUUAUGCAUGUGGUCCAAAUUUAAAGCCUGUACCUUCAAAAAUGUGGAAGUAGGUCACUAGGUCAAUGUCAAGGUCAAAGUUUGUUUCGGUACACAAUCCUAUGCAUGUGGUCUAAAUUUGAAGCCUGUAGCUACAGAAAUGUGGAAGUAGGUCACUAGGUCAAUGUCAAGGUCAAAGUUCAUUUCGGUACACAAAACUAUGCAUGUGGUCCAAAUUUGAAGGCUGUAGCUCGAGAAAUGUCAAAGUAGGUCACUAGGUCAAAAUCAAGGUCAAAUUUUAUUUCUGAACACAGAACUAUGCAUGUGUUCCAAAUUUGAAGCCUGUACCUUCAAAAAUGUGAAAGUAGGUCACUAGGUCAAUGUAAAGGUCAAAGUUUGUUU